Molecule: non-coding RNA, 23 nt
Filed under: Gallus gallus (chicken)
Lineage: Eukaryota; Metazoa; Chordata; Aves; Galliformes; Phasianidae
Also listed under: 2 other names
Source: RNAcentral
UCAGUGCAUGACAGAACUUGGUU